Molecule: long non-coding RNA, 462 nt
Filed under: Trifolium pratense (red clover)
Lineage: Eukaryota; Viridiplantae; Streptophyta; Magnoliopsida; Fabales; Fabaceae
Description: long non-coding RNA (TPRA_LNC010403)
Source: RNAcentral
AACAACUUGCACAAAAACACAAACAUUCAAACAUAUAACAUGAAACAUCGCAAAGACAAACUAAUCCAACUUAGAAAUCUAACAUGAUCACAAAAAAGCUAUCAAUUUUCACAAGAUACUAGGUAACCUCAAUAUUGUAACAAAACAGUUUCAUCUUGUACUACGAUGUUUGAAAUGGAAAAUCAACUGAAAACUGAGCAUGAUAAUCAAAUCAAAGAUAUUGUAAGUAAACGAAGGUUACAUACCCAGCCAUAGAUGAAGUCAAAAGAUUCAAAAACCUAUUUUUUAGGUUUUUGUUUCGUUCUGUCUGUCUUUCUCAGAAACCUGCUAAAUAGUGCAAGUAAGAAAUAAACAAAGCACUUUUGUUUAUUUUUGAAUUAACACAGAAAAGAGAAUAUAAUAAUUUCAUAUUUUGGAAUUGGCGGUGCCUAAUGAUCUAUGGAGACAAGACGAGUCAAUUUU